GUGCUCGCGUGAUGAACGAAGUACUUCGGUAUGUAAAGUUCUUUUAUCAGAAGAAGAGAAAGCAAAUGGCGAACCUAUUUGUUUGCCGGUACUUGAUGAAUAAGCCCCGGCUAAUUAUGUGCCAGCAGCCGCGGUAAGACAUAAGGGGCAAGUGUUAUCCGGAAUUAUUGGGCGUAAAGGGUGCGUAGGCGGUCUAGUAAGUCAGUGGUGUAAUGGCAACGCUUAACGUUGUCCGGCUAUUGAAACUGCUAAACUUGAGUUAAAUAGAGGCGAGUGGAAUUCCAUGUGUAGCGGUAAAAUGCGUAAAUAUAUGGAGGAACACCGGAGGCGUAGGCGGCUCGCUGGGUCUUAACUGACGCUGAGGCACGAAAGCGUGGGGAGCAAACAGGAUUAAAUACCCUGGUAGUCCACGCCGUAAACGAUGAGUACUAAGUGUCGGGUUAAACCGGUACUGAAGUUAACACAUUAAGUACUCCGCCUGAGUAGUACGUACGCAAGUAUGAAACUUAAAGGAAUUGACGGGACUCCGCACAAGCGGUGGAUCAUGUUGUUUAAUUCGAAAAUACCCGAAAAACCUUACCAGGUCUUGACAUGUUUUUGCAAAAUGAUAGUAAUAUCGUGAAGGUUACCAAAAACACAGGUGGUGCAUGGUUGUCGUCAGCUCGUGUCGUGAGAUGUUAGGUUAAGUCCUAAAACGAGCGAAACCCUUAUCGUUAGUUGCCAGCACGUUAUGUGGGGACUUUAACGAGACUGCCAAUGAUAAAUUGGAGGAAAGGUGAGGAUCACGUCAAAUCAGCAUGCCCCUUAUGACCUGGGCUACAAACGUGAUACAAUGGCUGUUACAAAAGUAACUAAAAAA
Molecule: ribosomal RNA, 859 nt
Filed under: Coconut root wilt phytoplasma
Lineage: Bacteria; Bacillati; Mycoplasmatota; Mollicutes; Acholeplasmatales; Acholeplasmataceae
Description: bacterial SSU rRNA
Rfam family: Bacterial small subunit ribosomal RNA
Source: RNAcentral